GCAAGUCGAACGAUAAGCUACCUUCGGGUAGUGGACAGUGGCGGACGGGUGAGUAACACGUGGGAACAUGCCUUUCAGUACGGAACAACCAUUGGAAACGAUGGCUAAUACCGUAUACGUCCUUAGGGAGAAAGAUUUAUCGCUGAAAGAUUGGCCCGCGCUAGAUUAGUUAGUUGGUGAGGUAAAAGCUCACCAAGGCGACGAUCUAUAGCUGGUUUGAGAGGAUGAUC
RNAcentral lists this ribosomal RNA (230 nucleotides) under uncultured bacterium. Its description in RNAcentral is "partial 16S ribosomal RNA". It matches the Rfam family "Bacterial small subunit ribosomal RNA", at positions 57 to 305 of the family's 1533-position model. The record is from RNAcentral.